UACGUAGGGUGCGAGCGUUGUCCGGAAUUAUUGGGCGUAAAGAGCUCGUAGGCGGUCUGUCGCGUCGGUCGUGAAAACUUGGGGCUUAACCCUGAGCUUGCGGUCGAUACGGGCAUGACUGGAGUUCGGUAGGGGAGACUGGAAUUCCUGGUGUAGCGGUGAAAUGCGCAGAUAUCAGGAGGAACACCGGUGGCGAAGGCGGGUCUCUGGGCCAUAACUGACGCUGAGAAGCGAAAGCAUGGGGAGCGAACAGG
This 254-nucleotide ribosomal RNA is filed under the name uncultured bacterium. RNAcentral's name for it is "partial 16S ribosomal RNA". It matches the Rfam family "Bacterial small subunit ribosomal RNA", at positions 524 to 776 of the family's 1533-position model. The record is from RNAcentral.